UGUUUUCCGCGUUGGCCCAUGUACAAGUCCCUUGGAACAGGGCGUCAUAGAGGGUGAGAAUCCCGUCCUUGACAUGGACCCCCAAUGCUUUGUGAUACACUUUCAACGAGUCGAGUUGUUUGGGAAUGCAGCUCAAAAUGGGUGGUGAAUUCCAUCUAAAGCUAAAUAUUGGCGAGAGACCGAUAGCGAACAAGUACCGUGAGGGAAAGAUGAAAAGCACUUUGGAAAGAGAGUUAAACAGUACGUGAAAUUGUUGAAAGGGAAACGAUUGAAGUCAGUCAUGCUCUUUGGAUUAAGCCGUUCUGCGGUGUAUUUCAUUGAGCGGGGUCAACAUCAGUUUUGAUCGCUGGAAAAGGGCAGGAGGAAGGUAGCACUCUCGGGUGAACUUAUAGCCUCUUGUCGUAUACAGUGAUUGGGACUGAGGAACGCAGCAUGCCUUUUGGCCGGGAUUCGUCCACGUACAUGCUUAGGAUGUUGACAUAAUGGCUUUAAACGACCCGUCUUG
This 505-nucleotide ribosomal RNA is filed under the name Naganishia onofrii. Its description in RNAcentral is "eukaryotic LSU rRNA". It matches the Rfam family "Eukaryotic large subunit ribosomal RNA", at positions 159 to 656 of the family's 3401-position model. Lineage: Eukaryota; Fungi; Basidiomycota; Tremellomycetes; Filobasidiales; Filobasidiaceae. The record is from RNAcentral.